GUGAGUCAUCGAAUCUUUGAACGCACAUUGCACCGUUUACCUUUGGCUAACGGUAUGCCUGUUUGAGCGUCACUAUAAUAAUCUCUCUUAACAAUGUUAUUGUUGUGUGAGGGGAUUUGGAUAAUCCGAGGGUUCUGACAGGGAGUAUUCUCCGUUGGGAUACACGGUUGUCUGAAAUAUAGUGACACUAGUCUGACGACGAGAUAAUAGUCUUGGUUGCGCGCACUUUAUUGUGAUGUGUGACCAUACUUGUCCGUUACGCUAAAUUCACACACCAUUAAGUUAGUGGGCGUAAUAACC
RNAcentral lists this unclassified non-coding RNA (300 nucleotides) under uncultured Spiromyces. RNAcentral's name for it is "sequence contains 5.8S rRNA gene, ITS2". The stretch from base 1 to 72 matches the Rfam family "5.8S ribosomal RNA", at positions 84 to 154 of the family's 154-position model. The record is from RNAcentral. Lineage: Eukaryota; Fungi; Kickxellomycota; Kickxellomycetes; Kickxellales; Kickxellaceae.